AUGUCCAUUUGUAAGACGGCUGGUGAUGUUCAGAAUAAUAAGCGAAGUGCACGAAUUGGUAACGGUGACUACAGUAGACUGUUUAAGCAACUAAGCAACUCAAGUCCCAUGGCGACUACAAAUCAUGAGUGGCCGCUGCACUAUUCUUGUAUGUUCUUCUAUUUUCAAUGGAAGCAUUCAAUCAUAUUUGUUUUUUUCUCACAGCAGUUUAUAUACCUCUCCAUGGAUCAUUCAGGUGUAAAAAUAUGGAUUUUCACUUUUGACAUGCAGUAUUUGACGGUCUCUAUGUGGAGGGUUUCAGAACUUCCUCUAGGUGCACACCUGAUUACUAGGGAUACACGCUUGCAACUAGCAAAAAUUGCAAGAUGCAGUGUCGCGUUUUCUCUUUCCAAUGCAUGGUAUCUGUUCAGGUGGAUGACCGCUAAUGUAUGUGGGAUAUGGAUGUCUUCAUAUUUGUGGUGGGUACAAGUAAUGUUAAAUUGA
This 483-nucleotide ribosomal RNA is filed under the name Triticum aestivum (bread wheat). RNAcentral's name for it is "partial small subunit ribosomal RNA". The record is from RNAcentral. Lineage: Eukaryota; Viridiplantae; Streptophyta; Magnoliopsida; Poales; Poaceae.